GAUGAACGCUGGCGGCGUGCCUAAUACAUGCAAGUCGAGCGAACAGAUGAGGAGCUUGCUCCUCUGACGUUAGCGGCGGACGGGUGAGUAACACGUGGAUAACCUACCUAUAAGACUGGGAUAACUUCGGGAAACCGGAGCUAAUACCGGAUAAUAUAUUGAACCGCAUGGUUCAAUAGUGAAAGACGGUUUUGCUGUCACUUAUAGAUGGAUCCGCGCCGCAUUAGCUAGUUGGUAAGGUAACGGCUUACCAAGGCAACGAUGCGUAGCCGACCUGAGAGGGUGAUCGGCCACACUGGAACUGAGACACGGUCCAGACUCCUACGGGAGGCAGCAGUAGGGAAUCUUCCGCAAUGGGCGAAAGCCUGACGGAGAAAAGCCGCGUGAGUGAUGAAGGUCUUCGGAUCGUAAAACUCUGUUAUUAGGGAAGAACAAAUGUGUAAGUAACUAUGCACGUCUUGACGGUACCUAAUCAGAAAGCCACGGCUAACUACGUG
Molecule: ribosomal RNA, 497 nt
Filed under: uncultured bacterium
Lineage: Bacteria
Description: partial 16S ribosomal RNA
Rfam family: Bacterial small subunit ribosomal RNA
Source: RNAcentral